RNAcentral lists this transfer RNA (65 nucleotides) under Umbonium thomasi. Its description in RNAcentral is "tRNA-Val". Lineage: Eukaryota; Metazoa; Mollusca; Gastropoda; Trochida; Trochidae. The record is from RNAcentral.
UGGGGUAUAGCAUAAAUUAAUGUAUCUCACUUACAUUGAGAUGAUAGCCUUAGGGCUUGCCCUUA